RNAcentral lists this small nuclear RNA (307 nucleotides) under Jaculus jaculus (lesser Egyptian jerboa). Its description in RNAcentral is "7SK RNA (ENSJJAG00000003606.1)". It matches the Rfam family "7SK RNA". From Rfam's summary of the family: 7SK was discovered as an abundant small nuclear RNA in the mid-70s but a possible function has only recently been suggested. Two independent studies have found that 7SK RNA binds the CDK9/cyclin T complex (known as elongation factor P-TEFb). The record is from Rfam by way of RNAcentral. Lineage: Eukaryota; Metazoa; Chordata; Mammalia; Rodentia; Dipodidae.
GGAUGUGAGGGUGACUGGUUGUAGCAUCUGUCACCCCAUUGAUUGCCAGGAUUGAUUAGGCUGAUCUAGCUGGCUAGGCUCAUGUCCCCUUCCUUCUUCAGCACCCCAUGUGUGUCCCUCCUGAAGCUGUGUGCUCAGUCAAAGAGGAUGACCAUCCCUGAAUUGAGGAGGAUUGGGUUUUGGUCAAGGGUAUGCAAGUAUCUGCACUCCCCUGCUAGAACCUGCAAACAAGCUCUCAAGAAUGAGUGUGAGAGCCAGGUGUGAUGGAGCAUGCCUUUAAUCCCAGCACUUGGGAGGCAGAGGGAGG